This 467-nucleotide ribosomal RNA is filed under the name uncultured bacterium. RNAcentral describes it as "partial 16S ribosomal RNA". It matches the Rfam family "Bacterial small subunit ribosomal RNA", at positions 28 to 506 of the family's 1533-position model. The record is from RNAcentral.
GACGAACGCUGGCGGCGUGCUUAACACAUGCAAGUCGAACGGAAAGGCCCUGCUUUUGUGGGGUGCUCGAGUGGCGAACGGGUGAGUAACACGUAAGUAACCUGCCCUUGACUUUGGGAUAACUUCAGGAAACUGGGCCUAAUCCCGGAUAGGAGCUCCUCCUCCAUGGUGGGGGUUGGAACGUUUCGGCGGUUGGGGAUGGACUCGCGGCUUAUCAGCUUGUUGGUGGGGUAGUGGCUUACCAAGGCUUGGACGGGUAGCCGGCCUGGGAGGGUGACCGGCUACAUUGGCACUGGGAUACGGCCCAGACGCCUACGGGAGGCAGGAGUGGGGAAUAUUGCACAAUGGGCGGAAGCCUGAUGCAGCAACGCCGCGUGCGGGAUGGCGGCCUUCGGGUUGUAAAACGAUUUCGCCUGUGACGAAGCGUGAGUGACGGUAAUGGGUAAAGAAGCACCGGCUAACUACGU